This is a long non-coding RNA of Gavialis gangeticus (Gharial), 273 nucleotides long. RefSeq lists it as uncharacterized. Lineage: Eukaryota; Metazoa; Chordata; Crocodylia; Gavialidae. The transcript has 3 exons. The record is from RefSeq and is a predicted model, not a curated record.
CAAGAGUAGACCUUCCAAUUCGCUGCGUAAUCUGCUCCAGUGUUUUCCUACCUUCCUAAUGAUAAAAUUCUUUCUAAUAUCUAACCUAAACAUCCCUUGCUGCAACUUGAGACUAUUGCUCCUUAUUCUGGCAUCUGCCACCAUUAAGAACAGUCUAUCUCCAUCCUCUUUCAAGCCCCUUUUCGGGUAGUUGAAGGAUCCUAUUAAAUCCCCUCUCAGUCUUCUUCUCUAGACUAAGUAAGCCCAGUUCCCUUAGCCUGUCCUCGUACGUCA